RNAcentral lists this ribosomal RNA (253 nucleotides) under uncultured bacterium. Its description in RNAcentral is "partial 16S ribosomal RNA". It matches the Rfam family "Bacterial small subunit ribosomal RNA", at positions 524 to 776 of the family's 1533-position model. The record is from RNAcentral.
UACGAAGGGGGCUAGCGUUGUUCGGAAUCACUGGGCGUAAAGCGCACGUAGGCGGAUUCUUAAGUCAGGGGUAAAAUCCCGAGGCUCAACCUCGGAACCGCCUUUGAUACUGGGGAUCUCGAGUCCGGGAGAGGUGAGUGGAAUUGCGAGUGUAGAGGUGAAAUUCGUAGAUAUUCGCAAGAACACCAGUGGCGAAGGCGGCUCACUGGCCCGGAACUGACGCUGAGGUGCGAAAGCGUGGGGAGCAAACAGG